CCUACGGGAGGCAGCAGUGGGGGAUAUUGCACAAUGGGGGGAACCCUGAUGCAGCGACGCCGCGUGGGUGAAGAAGCGCCUAGGCGCGUAAAGCCCUGUCAGCAGGGAAGAAAAUGACGGUACCUGAAGAAGAAGCCACGGCUAACUACGUGACAGCAGCCGCGGUAAUACGUAGGGGGCAAGCGUUAUCCGGAUUUACUGGGUGUAAAGGGGGCGCAGACGGGGAUGCAAGCCAGGAGUGAAAACCCGGGGGCCAAACCCGGGACGGCUCUUGGAACUGCGUGGCUUGAGUGCAGGAGGGGCAGGCGGAAUGCCUGGUGUAGCGGUGAAAUGCGUAGAUAUCAGGAGGAACCCCGGUGGCGAAGGCAGCCUGCUGGACUGCAACUGACGUUGAGGCCCGAAAGCGUGGGGAGCAAACAGGAUUAGAUACCCUGGUAGUC
Molecule: ribosomal RNA, 440 nt
Filed under: uncultured bacterium
Lineage: Bacteria
Description: partial 16S ribosomal RNA
Rfam family: Bacterial small subunit ribosomal RNA
Source: RNAcentral